RNAcentral lists this ribosomal RNA (422 nucleotides) under uncultured bacterium. RNAcentral's name for it is "bacterial SSU rRNA". It matches the Rfam family "Bacterial small subunit ribosomal RNA", at positions 355 to 774 of the family's 1533-position model. The record is from RNAcentral.
UGAGGAAUAUUGGUCAAUGGACGCAAGUCUGAACCAGCCACAUCGCGUGAAGGAUGACUGCCCUACGGGUUGUAAACUUCUUUUAUAAGGGAAUAAAAAAGACUACGUGUAGUUUAUUGCAUGUACCUUAUGAAUAAGCAUCGGCUAACUCCGUGCCAGCAGCCGCGGUAAUACGGAGGAUGCGAGCGUUAUCCGGAUUUAUUGGGUUUAAAGGGUGCGCAGGCGGAUUUUUAAGUCAGCGGUGAAAUCUUGAGGCUCAACCUCAAACCUGCCGUUGAAACUGUUAAUCUUGAGUAUGGAUGAAGUAGGCGGAAUUCGUUGUGUAGCGGUGAAAUGCUUAGAUAUAACGAGGAACCCCGAUUGCGUAGGCAGCUUACUAAACCAUAACUGACGCUCAUGCACGAAAGUGUGGGUAUCCAACA